Molecule: ribosomal RNA, 434 nt
Filed under: uncultured bacterium
Lineage: Bacteria
Description: bacterial SSU rRNA
Rfam family: Bacterial small subunit ribosomal RNA
Source: RNAcentral
AACGAACGCUGGCGGCAGGCCUAACACAUGCAAGUCGAACGCUUCAGCAAUGAAGAGUGGCAGACGGGUGAGUAACGCGUGGGAACCUUCCCAGUGGUACGGAAUAGCCCAGGGAAACUUGGGGUAAUACCGUAUACGCCCUUUUGGGGAAAGAUUUAUCGCCAUAGGAUGGGCCCGCGUCGGAUUAGCUUGUUGGUAGGGGUAAUGGCCUACCAAGGCAACGAUCCGUAGCUGGUCUUAGAGGAUGAUCAGCCACACUGGGACUGAGACACGGCCCAGACUCCUACGGGAGGCAGCAGUGGGGAAUAUUGGACAAUGGGCGAAAGCCUGAUCCAGCCAUGCCGCGUGAGUGACGAAGGCCUUAGGGUUGUAAAACUCUUUUGGCGGGGACGAUAAUGACGGUACCCGCAGAAUAAGCCCCGGCUAACUUCGUG